UGAGGAGUUGAGUGCUAAGGAGUAUGUAAGCACAGUGGACACGCUGAAGUAUCUAAGCCAAAGAACCCUGUGUUUCACAUCCCAAAGUGUUACAGAAGGAAGUGAUUGGAAAUUGAAAAUGCCAGUGCUUAAGAUGUUUUCAAAAGACUUGACUUCUCAGCCUGGUCAACUGGAUCAACAGGAAAAAGAGGUCCUAAACUUCAUCUAAGUAAGAACUACAUGAGAGCUUGGUAAGUGGACUUUGGCAUUUUAGAAACAAAGAAGCUAGUACUAUCUCUUAUUCAGGAAAAAUAUUAGUGACAGG
Molecule: long non-coding RNA, 304 nt
Filed under: Aotus nancymaae (Ma's night monkey)
Lineage: Eukaryota; Metazoa; Chordata; Mammalia; Primates; Aotidae
Description: lncRNA (ENSANAG00000038741.1)
Source: RNAcentral